ACAACAACCAGCACGGAGUGGCAGAGAGGAGUGAAAACGAAAGAGCCGAAAUAUACACAGAGAGAGAGGGAUUAAACAGAAAUAUUAUAACAUAAAGAGAGUGAGAGAAACAGAAUGAGAGAGUAUGUGUCAGUUGUUUGACAGAAGCAGGCAGUUCGACAUGAGUGUUAGAAUGAGAUAUACAAAGAGUGGGAGCACCGGGUCUCUUCCAAUUUACUGAAAUUUCUGUUUACAAAGUGAUUCCUUGCUUUAUGUUCUCUUCUUCUUAGCUCACUCUGAUCAGAGAUCAUGAGUGGUUUUCAGUUGGACACUCUUCUAAUUAGUUAACAAUUUAUUUAGUUUUUAUUUAAAUUUAUAUAUAAAUAUAUUAUAUAUUCUGUAAAUAUAUAUACAUGUACAUCUGACAACACCAGUAAUAAGGUGUUCACUGGUGAAAUCGUCUUUUUCCUGCUUUAAAAUUAUUAUUGUUAUUUUUUACUUUCCACACACGUACCUUUGUCAUGGAAUUUAAACAAGAACCAGUUGAGAAUUAUUAUACCAUUGGUGAAAAUUUAGGAAGUGGCCAGUUUGCUGUGGUGAAGAAGUGCAAACAGAGAGAAACUGGUAAAGAAUAUGCUGCCAAGUACAUUCGGAAACGUCGUGCGGGAGGUAGGAGAGGUGCCAGUCUCGAAGACAUCAGGAAAGAAGUUGAAAUUCUCUGUGAACUUGACCAUCCAAACAUUGUUCAGUUAUACGAGUGCUUUGAGACAAAGACCGAAGUCAUCCUCAUUCUUGAACUGGUGCCAGGUGGAGAACUCUUUGACUAUCUGUCUGAAAGAGAUAAACUCUGUGAAGCUGAGGCAUCAGCAUUUAUUAAACAAAUAUUGGAUGGUUUAAGACAUUUACAUGAUCGCCAAAUUGCUCACUUGGACCUUAAGCCAGAAAAUAUCCUCAUGGUAAACCAGACAAGUCAGAGAAUCAAGUUGAUAGACUUUGGAUUGUCACGGAAAUUAAAACCUGGCAUUGAUAGUCGUGCCAUGAUGGGAACUGCUGAAUUUGUUGCUCCUGAAGUUGUCAGCUAUGAACCUCUCACACUUGCUACAGACAUGUGGAGUGUUGGUGUGAUAACCUAUAUUUUAUUAAGUGGAACAUCGCCAUUCCUUGGCGACUCACCUCAAGAAACCUACCAGAACAUCACGUCAGUGGACUAUGAUUAUGAGGAUUAUUUUGAGACCACAAGUAAACUGGCCAAGGAUUUUAUUGAUAAACUCUUAGUGAAAAAUCCCAGGAAACGAGCCAGUGCUACAGACUGUAUGAGUCAUCCAUGGAUACAGCCUGUUGCCAAACAAGAGGAAGAUGUACGCAAGAGUUGUGUGAUCAACACAGGAAACUUGAAAUCUUUUAUUACAAGAAGACGGUGGAAACAAGCCUUCAAGAUCAUACUGCUGUGUAACCGAUUGUUAAAGUCCACCGUCUGUGCUCACCCCAAAGGAGGAGAACCUACUGAAAAACAGGACAAAGCCGAGAAUGUGGUCAUGGCAGCGUUAUUCCAGAGUGCCGAGGAAGGUAACUUGGCUGGUUUAAAGGAAUUACUUAGCAUGGCAAACAAUGUAAAUGUCAACACAGCAAACAGGCAUGGUGAGACAGCCAUCCACAAUGCUGCUAGUGGAGGACAUGUUGAUGUGAUCAAAUAUCUUCAUUCCAAAGGAGCCAAUAUCGAUGUUCUUGACAAGCACAAUGAUAGUGCAAUAUUUUGGGCUGUUCGUCAUGGGCAUUUAGAUGUGGUUCAUUACCUUAAAGAAGAAGGUGUGCCCCUUAACAUACAAAACAAGGCUGGUGAAUCAGCACUGCAUGUAUCUGCUCGCUAUGGUCACAACCAAAUCACAGAAUACCUAUGUAAUUCUGGCACAGACAUCAACUUAAGAGACAAUCAUGAAGAAACUGCCCUCCACCACGCUGCAUGGCAUGGAUUCUUACCAAUAACAUAUUCCCUGUGCACAGCUGGAGCACAACUCAACAUCCAGAACAAGGAUGGAGAAACGGCCCUGCACUGUGCUGCUGCUCGGGGUCACACUGAAUGUGUCAAAGUGUUGCUACAGCAUGAUGCUCAAACUAGUUUAGUUGACAAAAAUGGAAGCACUCCACUCCACCUUGCCUGUAAUCGGCACCAUGUCCAAAUUGCUCUACUUUUGAUACAUAAGGGCUGUGAUCUUGAUACUACAGAUUUAGAAACUGGAGAAAAUGCUUUACAUAUUGCUGCAAGAAAUGGCCUAGUUCCUGUUGUACAGGCAAUGUGUGCCUAUGGUUGUGUUGUAGAUAUGACUAACAGGGCAGGAGCAACGGCUUUACACCUGGCCAGUAAGGCUGGUCAUAUUGAAAUUGUCCGGUGUCUUUUACUAUCAGAAGCAAAUGCUGAUGCCAAGAAUAAGGAUGGUGUUACUGCUGAAAUCAUGGCACUAGCUCAGGGUUAUACAGACAUUGCUGAACUGCUGAAUAAGGUCCAUGGGGAUCGAGUUACUGCUUUCAUCCAACAAUUAAAUCCACAGAAUCAAAACCUGUCUCGAAUCAAACUUAAGAUUCUCGGUUCAACUGCUGUUGGAAAAUCUACCCUUAUAGAAUCUCUCAAAUGUGGCACCCUCUACAGUUUCUUUCGAGGGCGCCUCUUUAGUACUGGCUCUUUAUCUGCCAGAGAGAAAAACCGGUCUCGUAUGCUACGUCAAUACAGCUUACCAACACCACUUUGUUACUCAAUUGGUAACCCUACAUAUACCAAAGGAAUAGAUGUCCAACAAGUAAAUGUAAAAGGAAUUGGUGAUGUGAGUAUCUGGGACUUCUCUGGCUACCAACCUUAUUAUAUGCUCUACGACCAUUUUUUACAUGACCAAAAUUGUGUCACCAUUAUUGGAUUUAGUCUAACGGAUUCUUUUGACGAGCAAAUUGCCCAAGUGAUGUUCUGGUUGAAUUUUGUCAAGUCCAGGUCUGGUCUGCAACCUCCUCUGGGUCAAUGUGGAAAACCUUUAAAUGCACUUGGGGUCAUCCUUGUUGCAACUCAUGCGGAUCAAGCUACCAGCUGCAGCCGUAACAAUCGUGGUGAAUAUGUCUGUAAAGAGACACAAAUGAUUCUUACAAAGGCACAGAAGGAGUUUGGCAAUGACAUGGAAAUUGUGGAUCGAGUAUUUGUUAUAGACACCCAGGUGGCUGGUUCAUCUGAUAUGAAAGCUCUCAAAAGACAAAUUGCUGAAAUGAAGGGACAAAUUGUAAAGUCAUUACCACAAACAUCUGGCUUUUUGGAACUCAUGGUCUCACAGCUUCCGUACUGGCGUCGAGCCUCAUCAUCAUAUCCAGUAUUAGAUUGGAAGAGUUUCUCAGAGCAUGUUCGCACAAAGAUUAACCCCUUAGCAGGUGAAAUCGAUCUAAAAUCCCUUGUGCACCAAUUGCAGUUAAUUGGUGAGGUGAUUUACCUUGAAAAUGAAACUGGGCCUGACCUUGUGGUGCUCCAUCCCAACUGGUUGUGUACGGAUGUCAUUGGAAACCUCAUUUCUCAUGACAAGAUCCUCCAGACUCGGAUUACAGGUUGUUUUAGUAUUGAUGAAUUUCAACUAAUGUACCCCGAAACUGAUGCUCUAGACUUGCUUAAGGUUCUCGAAUGUCUUGAAGUCUGUACACAAUGUGACAAUGACGGUGAUGUUGAAUAUGAAUUUCCUUGUUUGAAUUUCGUUGAAACCCUGAACGGUCUCUGGCAGAAGGACUCUCAACACUAUGCAGAUGCUAUCUACGGCGGGAUGAGGAUAAUAUCUGUGUCAGAUUCUGGUAAUCAGUUCAAAUACCUCUUUCCAAGAGUUCAGGUACAGCUGAGAAGGACUUUGGUGCUGGAGAAUGAUGAUCCUUCACUUGAUUUGUACCAGUGGCACCAUGGUUCCAAAUACUGCUGUGGUGAGUUAGAAGGAAUCCUGAACAUGGACAAAAAUGAACAAUUCUUUGAAAUCAAAGUCCGAGGUCCAAAAGAAUCUCGGACGGCAGUUUUCUACUUUCUCGAGGACUUUGUCACAGCUGUCGAACAAAUCAUUCAUGACAUCUGUCCCUAUUUUCAAAUAGAGCGACACAUACUUCACAGGGGACAGCUAGAAGAACAUGUAAAAGUGGUAUCCAGCUACUCUCCAAGACAGCUCAUUGAAUGCCAACUGAAUCAUACCCUUAGUGUCAAAUUGGACAAAAUGGAACCAGAAUGCAUUGCAGAGGUUAUUUUUCUCGGUUCCCCUGAUGUCAUGGAUAAUGUUACACUGGGGGUGGACUUGCAUAUUUCUAUGCUGACUAUCCAUGCGAGACGUAUUUUAAGUGCUAUGCUCGACCCAGCUGAACCAAUGGGGCGAGACUGGUGCCUGCUAGCUGUAACACUUGGGCUCACAAAAGUUCUCCCUUCACUGGAUUCCGGCAGCAAGAAGCAUGAAAGCAAAACGAAUCGAACACUAGAAGAAUGGUCAUCAGACCCUAAUGCCACUGUGACCAUAUUAGUGAAUAGACUGAAAGAGAUGGGUCGUGGGGACAUCGUUGAAGCUCUCUACCCCCAUUUUCUUCUUUACCAAGUUGGCUAUGAAGACAAUAGUGGGGAAGACAAUAGUGGUGGAAGUCGACAGGGCACUAAUGUAUCUACAAACACCCUGUCUAGUUUGUCUCGGUAGGGGCUGGAGGAGAAAUAAAAUGGACUGUCACAUAAUGGUGCUCACACUGGCAGCUCUCUCUCUCUCUCUCUCUCUAUCUUUCUUUGUCUCUCUCUCUCUCUCUCUCUGUAUAUCUAUAUCUAUCUGUCUGCCUAUCU
Molecule: unclassified non-coding RNA, 4795 nt
Filed under: Octopus sinensis (East Asian common octopus)
Lineage: Eukaryota; Metazoa; Mollusca; Cephalopoda; Octopoda; Octopodidae
Description: death-associated protein kinase 1, transcript variant X1
Source: RNAcentral